This 247-nucleotide RNase MRP RNA is filed under the name Rhinolophus ferrumequinum (greater horseshoe bat). RNAcentral describes it as "RNase MRP (ENSRFEG00010006081.1)". The stretch from base 26 to 235 matches the Rfam family "RNase MRP", at positions 22 to 211 of the family's 266-position model. Rfam says of the family: RNase MRP is an enzymatically active ribonucleoprotein with two distinct roles in eukaryotes. In mitochondria it plays a direct role in the initiation of mitochondrial DNA replication. In the nucleus it is involved in precursor rRNA processing, where it cleaves the internal transcribed spacer 1 between 18S and 5.8S rRNAs. The record is from RNAcentral. Lineage: Eukaryota; Metazoa; Chordata; Mammalia; Chiroptera; Rhinolophidae.
AAGUUCAGUAAGAUUUCUUUUUUCCCCUAGGCUACAGACCAAGGACUUGUUCCUUAUUUGUGCCUGGGGGAAAGUCCCGGGACCUUGGGGCAUAGAGUGCCACGUGCGCGGGCACGUAGACCCUCCCUGCUUUAUACACCCUUAAACCCGCCACGAUUUCUUUUUUCCAUUUUGGAUGACAAUUAUGUGCCUGGCAAUAGAAAUACAGAGUUCGAGGGGACAUAACACUAGUUAUUAUUUCUGAAUU